This 420-nucleotide ribosomal RNA is filed under the name Triticum aestivum (bread wheat). Its description in RNAcentral is "partial small subunit ribosomal RNA". The record is from RNAcentral. Lineage: Eukaryota; Viridiplantae; Streptophyta; Magnoliopsida; Poales; Poaceae.
CUGCACAUCGCGGGUUUUAUUGCUCUUUGCGAGCUAUUCCUGGGCUGUGAGGCCCACUUUGAUUUAUGGAGAAAGCUAUUCUGCCUCGUCCCUCGCACCCAAGAGGGAUCGGUAUUCGAGGUGGGCGGCGCUGAGGUAUGGCGCAUAGCCAGAACCGGAUACCUAUCCGGCACACCGAAGAAGGCAUCCGAAGAGUGGCCCUCAGAGUGGUUCUAUAUUGAGGACGUCGCUCUCCAUGACCCAAUCCGAAUGGGUCUUCCCGAAUUUUCCAGCACUCCAUUGAAGAAACGCCACAGCUGGCACCCUCGAAGCCUCGAGGAGGAAGAUAGCACGGAAGUCCGUCAAUUAAUGGGCAAGAUAAGGACACUCGCCCAGUCCGGGCUAACAAUAGUCGAGGUAAUGGCCACUUCCAUAGCGUGA